Molecule: long non-coding RNA, 277 nt
Filed under: Hordeum vulgare
Lineage: Eukaryota; Viridiplantae; Streptophyta; Magnoliopsida; Poales; Poaceae
Description: long non-coding RNA (HVUL_LNC008264)
Source: RNAcentral
CUAUAUAGGCAGCUUGACCAGUAUAUUGUAAAAGAAGACAUGGGAACACAACCUCGUGAAAGCAAUUUGCGUUUCGAAAUGAUAAACGAUGUUAGCAAGCACCAACAAGCAAAUAGACUGAUGUAUGUACUCAUGUGAAAGUUACAUUAUAGAAAUGUAAAUCUACUACGUGCACGAAUAUAAUAAUGAAUGCAUUCCUACUAAAAUGAAGAUUAAAAUAUGCAUAGUGAAGGACUAUCACAACCAACAAAUGGUACCUGAAUAGCUUGCACAGGAA